Long non-coding RNA from Symphalangus syndactylus (siamang), 240 nucleotides. RefSeq lists it as uncharacterized. Lineage: Eukaryota; Metazoa; Chordata; Mammalia; Primates; Hylobatidae. The record is from RefSeq and is a predicted model, not a curated record.
GCUUGCUUGCUGAUGGUUCCAUUACCUCUUCCCCAUCCGCCUUCACAGAAAAAGACAGAAUGUAGGCCUUUGCGGAGAAGGUGAGCAAGCAAGAGUUGAACAGAUACUUGUCCUGGAUGUUAAAGUGGAAAUUCAAGCAAUACAACAGAAGGACAGAAGCAAGAAAGCAAAGAGCCCUAGAAACUGCUAGCAGCUGUCUUGUGAUAAGAGAGGCCAGCAUUAGACUAAAGCAGACAUAGU